UAUUGGACAAUGGGGGAAACCCUGAUCCAGCGACGCCGCGUGAGUGAAGAAGUAUUUCGGUAUGUAAAGCUCUGUCAGCAGGGAAGAAAGAAAUGACGGUACCUGACCAAGAAGCCCCGGCUAACUACGUGCCAGCAGCCGCGGUAAUACGUAGGGGGCAAGCGUUAUCCGGAUUUACUGGGUGUAAAGGGAGCGUAGACGGUAAUGUAAGUCUGAUGUGAAAGCCCGGGGCUCAACCCCGGGACUGCAUUGGAAACUAUGUAACUAGAGUACCGGAGAGGUAAGCGGAAUUCCUAGUGUAGCGGUGAAAUGCGUAGAUAUUAGGAGGAACACCAGUGGCGAAGGCGGCUUACUGGACGGAAACCGACGUUGAGGCUCGAAAGCGUGGGGAGCAAACAGG
RNAcentral lists this ribosomal RNA (400 nucleotides) under uncultured bacterium. Its description in RNAcentral is "bacterial SSU rRNA". It matches the Rfam family "Bacterial small subunit ribosomal RNA", at positions 362 to 776 of the family's 1533-position model. The record is from RNAcentral.